AUGGAAGUGGCUUUAGCUAGCGCUGCCUUAAGCGUUAGCUUAAAAUUGGCCGCGUCACCACUCUUGAAGAAGCUCCUUGCUAAUGCUUCAACAUGCCUUGGAGUGGACAUGGCACACGAGCUCCGUGAACUAGAGACCACUAUCUUUCCACAACUCAAGCUGUUGACUGAAGCAGCAGACAAGGGAAACCACAGGCUGAAUUUGGACAAAUGGCUUCAGGAACUCAAAGAAGCACUCUACCUGGCCGAAGACUUGCUGGACGAGAGUGAUUACAACCUCCUCAAGCGCCAAGCAAGGGGGAAGGAUUCCUUGCAAGCCAAUGCCUCCUCCAUCAGCAACACUCUAAUGAAGCCUUUGCGUGCUGCAUCAAGCAGGCUGUCCAAUCUGCGCUCCGAGAACAGAAAGUUAAUUCGUCAUCUUAAGGAAUUGAAGGCUACCCUAGCGAAAGCCAAGGACUUCCAUCAACUCCUGUGUUUACCUGGUAGUUAUAAUGCAGAGAGCCCUGCCAUACCAUCAGCUCAUGUUCCUGAGACCACAUCAGCACCACCUUUCAAAGUGAUUGGUCGUGAUAAUGAUCGCGAUCAUAUAAUACAUCUUCUUACCAAAACAUCUGCUACUACUGAGUCUAGUACAACAAUGUACUCAGGUUUGGCCAUUGUUGGGGCUGGAGGGAUGGGAAAGUCCACCUUGGCACAGCUUGUCUAUAAUGAUGAGAGGGUAAAAGGAUGUUUUGAUGUGAGAAUGUGGGUAAGCAUCUCACGCAAACUUGAUGUCCGCCGUCAUACACGGGAGAUCAUCGAGUCUGCCUCUAAGGGGGAAUGCCCACACAUUAAUAACCUUGAUACCCUGCAGUGCAAGUUGACAGAGAUACUCCAGGCAUCAAGAAAAUUCCUGCUUGUGUUGGAUGACGUUUGGUUUGAACCUGGCAGUGAGAAGGAAUGGGACCUACUGUUGGCUCCUCUUGUUUCCCAACAGACCGGAAGCAUAGUUUUGGUAACUUCUCGACGGGAUAGAUUUCCAGCUGCUCUCUGCUGUGAAGUGUGUCCUCUGGAAAACAUGGAAGAUACUCACUUCUUGGCACUCUUCAAGCAUCACGCAUUCGCUGGACAAGAAAUCAGAAAUCCACUACCAUGUGAAAGGCUCGAAGAUUUUGCAGAGAAGAUUGCUAAAAGGCUUGGACAAUCUCCUUUGGCAGCAAAAGCUGUGGGUUCCCAGUUGAAAGGGGAAACAGAUAUAUAUGCAUGGAAGGAUGCUCUUAAUAUAAAGAUUGACAACUUAACUGAUCCGAUGAGUGCUCUGUUGUGGAGUUAUGAGAAGUUAGAUCCACGUCUGCAGAAGUGCUUCCUAUAUUGCGGCUUGUUUCCAAAAGGCCACAAGUAUUUAAUUGAUGAGUUAGUUCAUCUUUGGAUGGCAGAGGGUCUCAUUGAUUCGUGCAACCAAAACAAGAGAGUGGAAGAUAUUGGGAGGGACUGCUUCAAGGAGAUGAUCUCUGUUUCAUUCUUUCAACCAGUUAAUAAGAAAUACUAUGCUAUGCAUGAUCUCCUUCAUGAUCUGGCAGAAUUACUCAGCAAAGGGGUCUACUUCAGAUUGGAAGAUGAUAAGGUGACAGAAAUACCAUCCACUGUUAGACAUAUCUCUGUUCGUGUUCAUAGUAUGACGCAACACAAGCAAAGUAUCUGCAACCUAAAUCAUUUACGCACUAUGAUCUGCAUAGACCCUCUAAUGGAUGAUGUAAGUGACCUUUUUAGUCAGAUACUACAGAAUUUGAAGAAAUUGCGUGUACUACAUUUGUCAUCUUAUGGCAGUAGUAAGUUGCCAGAAUCUGUUGGUGAGUUGAAGCACCUUCGGUAUCUGAACAUCAUCAGAACACUGAUUUCUGAAUUGCCAAGAUCAUUGUGUACUCUUUACCACUUGCAGUUACUUCUGGUAAAUGAUAAAGUUGAGAGUUUGCCUGGUAAACUCUGCAACUUAAGGAAGUUACGACAUCUUGACUGGUAUGAUUAUGGAACAUAUGAUUCAAACAGAAAAGCAGCGCCUCAAAUUCCUAACAUUGGCAAGCUAACUUCGCUUCAACAAGUUAAGAAAUUUUCUUUGCAAAAGAAAAUGGGAUAUGAAUUGCAACAGCUGAGGGAUCUGAACGAGAUCCGUGGCAGUUUAAGUGUCACAAAUCUUGAGAAUGUCACUGGGAAAGAUCAAGCCUUAGAAUCGAAGCUGCAUCAGAAAAGUCAUCUUGGCAGCUUGCGACUUGAAUGGUGUUGCCAGAAUAACACCAAUGCAGAGGAUAGUUUGCAUUUGGAGAUUCUAGAAGGCCUGAUGCCACCGCGUCAACUUGGGAGCCUUACAAUUGACGGUUACAAGUCUUCACAAUAUCCAAGCUGGUUACUUAACGGUUCUUAUUUUGAGAAUUUGGUAUCUUUAAGGUUUGCUAACUGUAGCGCAUUACAAAGCCUACCAUCCAAUACUGGGCUAUUUGGGAAUUGUUCUUCGCUUUCACUCAUCAAUGUGCCAAACCUGAAGGCAUUACCUUGUCUUCCACUAGGGCUUACAUAUUUAUGUCUGAGUAAUUGCCCACUGCUUAUAUUUACUUCCAACGAUGUGCUGGAAAAUAGUGACCAGAGAGAGAUCAUGAGGAUAGACCACUUGGCAUCACAGCUUGGUUUAAUUUGGGGGGUGGAUGCAGGAUCAGAUAUCAAGAGGGUACUCUCACGGGAACAUUCAUUUAUGAACCAGCUGAUGAUAUUUAUGCAUGCUGAUGUGUCAAAUGUUCAACACCUUGUAAGUGCUCUAAAAGGAGAGCAAGAUGAAAUAUUGGCAAAAGAGGAUAUCAUCAAGGCAUGGAUAUACUGUCACGAGCAGAGGAUGUGCCUCAUGUAUGGAAGGAGCAUUGUGCUGCCGCUGGUUUCACCAUCAGGACUUCGUAAUCUUUAUCUCUUCUCUUGCAGUAUUACAAAUGGAGCUUUAGCUGUAUGCCUUGAUGGCCUGGCUUCACUGGAAAGUUUGGACUUAAAUGAGAUCAUGACUUUAACUACACUUCCUUCGGAAGAGGUUCUCCAACAUUUGACAAAUCUUGGCCGUUUGUUCAUUGUAUAUUGCUGGUCUCUCAGGUCAUUAGGGGGCUUACGAGCUGCUACCUCUCUUUCACAUGUUCACUUGACUUCCUGCCCUUCUUUAGAGUUGGCAAGUGGAGCCAAAUGUUUGCCAUUAUCCAUUGAGAAGCUCUCUAUAUCCAGUUGUGUGCUUGCAGCUGACUUCCUCUCUACUGACUGGCCACACAUAAAUGAUAUUAGCAUAUACGAUUGCAGAAGCACCGCAUGCUUGUCUGUUGGUAGUCUCACCUCUGUUAAAUCAUUGGUACUGUAUAACUUGCCAGAUUUAUGUACACUUGAAGGAUUGUCUUCCCUGCAACUUCACAGUGUACAUUUGUUUGAUGUUCCGAAGCUCACCCCUGAGUGUAUCUCACAGUUUCAAGUCCAGUACUCACUCUUUGUUAGCAGUCCUGUAAUACUCAACAACAUGCUCUCGGCUGAAGGUUUCUCAGUUCCAGCAUUUCUCUCUCUUGAAGGAUGCAAGGAACCAAUUGUUUCAUUGGAAGAAUGCACAAAUUUCGCAGCAGUCAAGACCCUAAGAUUCUGUAAUUGUCAAAUGAUUUCCCUGCCAACAAAUCUGAAGUGCUUCUCCAAUCUGAAGAAGCUUGACAUCUAUGAUUGCCCCAACAUAUCAUCUUUACCAGACUUGCCAUCCUCCCUCCAGCACAUAUGUAUAUGGGGUUGUGAGCUAUUGAAGGAGAGCUGCCGAGCACCUGAGGGAGAAAGUUGGCCAAAGAUCGCGCAUAUCCGCUGGAAGGAAUUUAUAGUGUGA
Molecule: ribosomal RNA, 3858 nt
Filed under: Triticum aestivum (bread wheat)
Lineage: Eukaryota; Viridiplantae; Streptophyta; Magnoliopsida; Poales; Poaceae
Description: partial small subunit ribosomal RNA
Source: RNAcentral